UAUUAUGCAACGUUUCACUCU
Molecule: microRNA, 21 nt
Filed under: Schistosoma japonicum
Lineage: Eukaryota; Metazoa; Platyhelminthes; Trematoda; Strigeidida; Schistosomatidae
Also listed under: 1 other name
Description: sja-miR-2162-3p
Source: miRBase by way of RNAcentral